RNAcentral lists this ribosomal RNA (375 nucleotides) under uncultured Alphaproteobacteria bacterium. RNAcentral describes it as "bacterial SSU rRNA". It matches the Rfam family "Bacterial small subunit ribosomal RNA", at positions 9 to 410 of the family's 1533-position model. Lineage: Bacteria; Pseudomonadati; Pseudomonadota; Alphaproteobacteria. The record is from RNAcentral.
GAGUUUGAUCGUGGCUCAGAACGAACGCUGGCGGCAUGCCUAACACAUGCAAGUCGAACGCGUGGCUUCGGCCACGAGUGGCGCACGGGUGAGUAGCGCGUGGGAACCUGCCUUUAGGUUCGGGAUAACCGCGGGAAACUGCGGCUAAUACCGGAUGCUCCCUACGGGGAAAAGAUUUAUCGCCUGAAGAGGGGCCCGCGUCCGAUUAGGUAGUUGGUGAGGUAACGGCUCACCAAGCCUUCGAUCGGUAGCUGGUCUGAGAGGAUGAUCAGCCACACUGGGACUGAGACACGGCCCAGACUCCUACGGGAGGCAGCAGUGGGGAAUAUUGGACAAUGGGGGAAACCCUGAUCCAGCAAUGCCGCGUGAGUGAUG